CAGUUUUCUGAACCAUGUGAAUGGACAGCUAACGGUCAACCAUGUUGCUGUAGGUUUGGAAUUACAUGUAAACAAGACCAGGACUUUUCUUCAACUCUACAUGCUCAUGUCCACUCUUCCCCAAACUGCACAGAAGCCACACUGUGUUUCUGAGUACACAGAGUUCGAUGAGCUGAACAUGAAUAUCUUUGCCAAUCAGUUGGGUUCGAACAUGGUCUCACAGAGAUGUCUCAAUGUUGAAUGAUUCAAGGCAGGCAGUAAACCCUAGAGGAGGAUAUACACAAAGGCAUUUACAGAAGAGGAAGAGGUCACAGGAUUAUAACAAGCCUGUCAAUGCACAA
Stegostoma tigrinum is the source of this 341-nucleotide long non-coding RNA. RefSeq lists it as uncharacterized. The transcript is spliced from 4 exons. The record is from RefSeq and is a predicted model, not a curated record. Lineage: Eukaryota; Metazoa; Chordata; Chondrichthyes; Orectolobiformes; Stegostomatidae.